Molecule: transfer RNA, 67 nt
Filed under: marine eukaryotic metagenome
Rfam family: tRNA
About the family: Transfer RNA (tRNA) molecules are approximately 80 nucleotides in length.
Source: RNAcentral
CGGGUGUAGUUCAAUGGUAGAACACCAGCCUUCCAAGCUGGUCACGUGAGUUCGAUUCUCAUCACCC